RNAcentral lists this ribosomal RNA (464 nucleotides) under uncultured bacterium. Its description in RNAcentral is "partial 16S ribosomal RNA". It matches the Rfam family "Bacterial small subunit ribosomal RNA", at positions 339 to 795 of the family's 1533-position model. The record is from RNAcentral.
CUACGGGGUGCAGCAGUAGGGAAUCUUCGGCAAUGGACGGAAGUCUGACCGAGCAACGCCGCGUGAGUGAAGAAGGUUUUCGGAUCGUAAAGCUCUGUUGUAAGAGAAGAACGAGUGUGAGAGUGGAAAGUUCACACUGUGACGGUAUCUUACCAGAAAGGGACGGCUAACUACGUGCCAGCAGCCGCGGUAAUACGUAGGUCCCGAGCGUUGUCCGGAUUUAUUGGGCGUAAAGCGAGCGCAGGCGGUUAGAUAAGUCUGAAGUUAAAGGCUGUGGCUUAACCAUAGUACGCUUUGGAAACUGUUUAACUUGAGUGCAGAAGGGGAGAGUGGAAUUCCAUGUGUAGCGGUGAAAUGCGUAGAUAUAUGGAGGAACACCGGUGGCGAAAGCGGCUCUCUGGUCUGUAACUGACGCUGAGGCUCGAAAGCGUGGGGAGCAAACAGGAUUAGAUACCCUUGUAGUC